Pistacia vera is the source of this 107-nucleotide small nucleolar RNA. The record is from RefSeq and is a predicted model, not a curated record. Lineage: Eukaryota; Viridiplantae; Streptophyta; Magnoliopsida; Sapindales; Anacardiaceae.
UAACCAUGAUGUGGACAUUUCCUCAACAACUCUUUGUACCUCUCCCAAGCUUCAUAUAGUAAUUCAUCGUUACCUUGCACGAAAGAGGUAAUGUUGUUUCUUAUUUU